GCUCGCUUUGGCUGCGCAUAUGCUAAAAUUGGAAUGAUACAGAGAAGGUUAUCAUGGCCCCUGUGAAAGGAUGACACGCAAAUUCCUGAAGUGCUCUAUAUUUCU
Small nuclear RNA from Mesocricetus auratus (golden hamster), 105 nucleotides. The record is from RefSeq and is a predicted model, not a curated record. Lineage: Eukaryota; Metazoa; Chordata; Mammalia; Rodentia; Cricetidae.